GGCCUGGUGGUGUAGCUGGAAACAUGUCCUCUUCAUAUCCCCAAUAUUUGUAAUGUUACAAGGAAGUUCCUUGUUCGAAUCAAGGUCAGGCCG
This is a non-coding RNA of Mycena rebaudengoi, 93 nucleotides long. NCBI's taxonomy places the organism in Eukaryota, Fungi, Basidiomycota, Agaricomycetes, Agaricales, Mycenaceae. The record is from the annotation of a GenBank genome assembly.